This 602-nucleotide non-coding RNA is filed under the name Drosophila virilis. RNAcentral describes it as "Eukaryotic large subunit ribosomal RNA". It matches the Rfam family "Eukaryotic large subunit ribosomal RNA", at positions 1 to 586 of the family's 3401-position model. Lineage: Eukaryota; Metazoa; Arthropoda; Insecta; Diptera; Drosophilidae. The record is from Rfam by way of RNAcentral.
CAACCUCAACUCAUAUGGGACUACCCCCUGAAUUUAAGCAUAUUAAUUAGGGGAGGAAAAGAAACUAACAAGGAUUUUCUUAGUAGCGGCGAGCGAAAAGAAAUCAGUUCAGCACUAAGUCACUUUGUCUAUAUGGCAAAUGUGAGAUGCAGUGUACGGAACAUCAACAUUCUAGUAUGAGAAGUUAACGAUUUAAGUCCUUCUUAAAUGAGGCCAUUUACCCAUAGAGGGUGCCAGGCCCGUAUAACGUUAAUGAUUACUAGAUGGUGUUUCCAAAGAGUCGUGUUGCUUGAUAGUGCAGCACUAAGUGGGUGGUAAACUCCAUCUAAAACUAAAUAUAACCAUGAGACCGAUAGUAAACAAGUACCGUGAGGGAAAGUUGAAAAGAACUCUGAAUAGAGAGUUAAAUAGUACGUGAAACUGCUUAGAGGUUAAGCCCGAUGAACCUGAAUAUCCGUUAUGGAAAAUUCAUCAUUAGAAUUGUAAUAUUUUAAACAAUAUUAUAAUAAUAGUGUGCAUUUUUUCCAUAUAAGGACAUUGUAAUCUAUUAGCAUAAAUAUUUAUCAUAAAAUUAUGUCUGAUUGCUUAUUGAAUUAUAUGCU